Molecule: ribosomal RNA, 506 nt
Filed under: uncultured bacterium
Lineage: Bacteria
Description: partial 16S ribosomal RNA
Rfam family: Bacterial small subunit ribosomal RNA
Source: RNAcentral
GAUGAACGCUAGCGGCAGGCCUAACACAUGCAAGUCGAGGGGCAGCACAGGAAAGUAGUAAUACUUUUGGGUGGCGACCGGCGGACGGGUGCGUAACGCGUAUACAACCUGCCUUCUACUGGGGGAUAAUUCGGAGAAAUCUGGUCUAAUACCCCAUAACAACCGAUGAGGCAUCUCAUUGGUUUAAAAGCUCCGGCGGUAGAAGAUGGGUAUGCGUGACAUUAGAUAGUUGGUGGGGUAACGGCUCACCAAGUCGACGAUGUCUAGGGGGACUGGGAGGUUAACCCACCACACUGCUACUGGGACAAGGACAAGACUCCUACGGGAGGCAGCAGUGAGGAAUAUUGGUCAAUGGACGCAAGUCUGAACCAGCCAUGCCGCGUGCAGGAAGACGGCUCUAUGAGUUGUAAACUGCUUUUGUACGAGGGUAAACCCAGGGACGUGUCCUUGGUUGAAAGGACCGUACGAAUAAGGAUCGGCUAACUCCGUGCCAGCCGCCGCGGUAA